RNAcentral lists this ribosomal RNA (497 nucleotides) under uncultured bacterium. Its description in RNAcentral is "partial 16S ribosomal RNA". It matches the Rfam family "Bacterial small subunit ribosomal RNA", at positions 28 to 507 of the family's 1533-position model. The record is from RNAcentral.
GAUGAACGCUGGCGGCGUGCCUAAUACAUGCAAGUCGAGCGAACAGACGAGGAGCUUGCUCCUCUGACGUUAGCGGCGGACGGGUGAGUAACACGUGGAUAACCUACCUAUAAGACUGGGAUAACUUCGGGAAACCGGAGCUAAUACCGGAUAAUAUUUUGAACCGCAUGGUUCAAUAGUGAAAGACGGUUUUGCUGUCACUUAUAGAUGGAUCCGCGCCGCAUUAGCUAGUUGGUAAGGUAACGGCUUACCAAGGCAACGAUGCAUAGCCGACCUGAGAGGGUGAUCGGCCACACUGGAACUGAGACACGGUCCAGACUCCUACGGGAGGCAGCAGUAGGGAAUCUUCCGCAAUGGGCGAAAGCCUGACGGAGCAACGCCGCGUGAGUGAUGAAGGUCUUCGGAUCGUAAAACUCUGUUAUUAGGGAAGAACAAAUGUGUAAGUAACUAUGCACGUCUUGACGGUACCUAAUCAGAAAGCCACGGCUAACUACGUG